AUUGAACGCUGGCGGCAUGCCUUACACAUGCAAGUCGAACGGCAGCACGGGAGCAAUCCUGGUGGCGAGUGGCGAACGGGUGAGUAAUAUAUCGGAACGUGCCCAGUCGUGGGGGAUAACGUAGCGAAAGCUACGCUAAUACCGCAUACGAUCUAUGGAUGAAAGCGGGGGAUCGCAAGACCUCGCGCGAUUGGAGCGGCCGAUAUCAGAUUAGGUAGUUGGUGAGGUAAGGCUCACCAAGCCGACGAUCUGUAGCUGGUCUGAGAGGACGACCAGCCACACUGGGACUGAGACACGGCCCAGACUCCUACGGGAGGCAGCAGUGGGAAUUUUGGACAAUGGGCGCAAGCCUGAUCCAGCAAUGCCGCGUGCAGGAUGAAGGCCUUCGGGUUGUAAACUGCUUUGUACGGAACGAAACGGUGAGCUCUAAUACAGUUUGCUAAUGACGGUACCGUAAGAAUAAGCACCGGCUAACUACGUG
This 481-nucleotide ribosomal RNA is filed under the name uncultured bacterium. Its description in RNAcentral is "bacterial SSU rRNA". It matches the Rfam family "Bacterial small subunit ribosomal RNA", at positions 30 to 507 of the family's 1533-position model. The record is from RNAcentral.